This 371-nucleotide ribosomal RNA is filed under the name uncultured organism. Its description in RNAcentral is "partial 16S ribosomal RNA". It matches the Rfam family "Bacterial small subunit ribosomal RNA", at positions 527 to 896 of the family's 1533-position model. The record is from RNAcentral.
GUAGGUGGCAAGCGUUGUCCGGAAUUAUUGGGCGUAAAGCGCGCGCAGGCGGUUCUUUAAGUCUGAUGUGAAAGCCCACGGCUCAACCGUGGAGGGUCAUUGGAAACUGGAGAACUUGAGUACAGAAGAGGAAAGCGGAAUUCCACGUGUAGCGGUGAAAUGCGUAGAGAUGUGGAGGAACACCAGUGGCGAAGGCGGCUUUCAGGUCUGUAACUGACGCUGAGGCGCGAAAGCGUGGGGGAGCAAACAGGAUUAGAUACCCUGGUAGUCCACGCCGUAAACGAUGAGUGCUAAGUGUUAGGGGGUUUCCGCCCCUUAGUGCUGCGGCUAACGCAUUAAGCACUCCGCCUGGGAGUACGGCCGCAAGGCUG